RNAcentral lists this ribosomal RNA (253 nucleotides) under uncultured bacterium. Its description in RNAcentral is "partial 16S ribosomal RNA". It matches the Rfam family "Bacterial small subunit ribosomal RNA", at positions 524 to 776 of the family's 1533-position model. The record is from RNAcentral.
UACGUAGGGGGCAAGCGUUGUCCGGAAUUAUUGGGCGUAAAGAGCGCGUAGGCGGUCCGGUAAGUCGGCUGUGAAAGUCAAGGGCUCAACCCUUGAAAGCCGGCCGAUACUGUCGGACUAGAGUGCGGUAGAGGUCUCGGGAAUUCCAGGUGUAGCGGUGAAAUGCGUAGAUAUCUGGAGGAACACCGGUGGCGAAAGCGCGAGACUGGGCCGUAACUGACGCUGAGGAACGAAAGCCAGGGGAGCGAAAGGG